RNAcentral lists this ribosomal RNA (371 nucleotides) under uncultured bacterium. RNAcentral's name for it is "bacterial SSU rRNA". It matches the Rfam family "Bacterial small subunit ribosomal RNA", at positions 527 to 896 of the family's 1533-position model. The record is from RNAcentral.
GUAGGGAGCAAGCGUUGUUCGGAAUUAUUGGGCGUAAAGAGCGCGUAGGCGGUUCGGUAAGUCUGACGUGAAAUCCCGGAGCUUAACUCCGGAACUGCGUUGGAUACUGCCGGGCUUGAGUGUGGGAGAGGAGAGUGGAAUUCCCAGUGUAGAGGUGAAAUUCGUAGAUAUUGGGAGGAACACCCGUGGCGAAGGCGGCUCUCUGGACCACAACUGACGCUGAGGCGCGAAAGCUAGGGUAGCAAACGGGAUUAGAUACCCCGGUAGUCCUAGCCGUAAACGAUGGGCACUAGGUGUUGGAGGUAUCGACCCCUCCAGUGCCGCAGCUAACGCAUUAAGUGCCCCGCCUGGGGAGUACGGUCGCAAGACUA